Molecule: ribosomal RNA, 484 nt
Filed under: uncultured bacterium
Lineage: Bacteria
Description: partial 16S ribosomal RNA
Rfam family: Bacterial small subunit ribosomal RNA
Source: RNAcentral
GACGAACGCUGGCGGCGUGCUUAACACAUGCAAGUCGAACGAUGAACCCGGAGCUUGCUCCGGUGGAUUAGUGGCGAACGGGUGAGUAACACGUGGGUGAUCUGCCCUGCACUCUGGGAUAAGCCUGGGAAACUGGGUCUAAUACCGGAUAUGAGCUCCUGUCGCAUGGCGGGGGUUGGAAAGGUUUACUGGUGCAGGAUGGGCCCGCGGCCUAUCAGCUUGUUGGUGGGGUAAUGGCCUACCAAGGCGACGACGGGUAGCCGGCCUGAGAGGGCGACCGGCCACACUGGGACUGAGACACGGCCCAGACUCCUACGGGAGGCAGCAGUGGGGAAUAUUGCACAAUGGGCGAAAGCCUGAUGCAGCGACGCCGCGUGAGGGAUGACGGCCUUCGGGUUGUAAACCUCUUUCAGCAGGGACGAAGCGAGAGUGACGGUACCUGCAGAAGAAGCACCGGCCAACUACGUGCCAGCCGCCGCGGUAA